CAAAAAAACAUUUCUGAGCAGAGUUCAGUUGAUAGUGAUGCUUUGUCAACAAUAUAUAGGUCAUUUUAUAGUAAAAUAAUUAAUAGGCUUUAUAUAUUUUUUAUUUAAUAAUAUUUGUUUAAUGUUGUAUCAAUUUUCCUACGUUUUUCCUGGUUUUUCACAUUUAAUGAGAAAACUCCUGAGAAAAUCAAAAAAUGACCUCUCUAUAGUACCUAACUAGUGAAAUUUCCUUUA
Cinara cedri is the source of this 234-nucleotide non-coding RNA. The record is from the annotation of a GenBank genome assembly. Lineage: Eukaryota; Metazoa; Arthropoda; Insecta; Hemiptera; Aphididae.